This is a long non-coding RNA of Grammomys surdaster, 197 nucleotides long. RefSeq lists it as uncharacterized. The record is from RefSeq and is a predicted model, not a curated record. Lineage: Eukaryota; Metazoa; Chordata; Mammalia; Rodentia; Muridae. The transcript has 3 exons.
GGUACAUGAUCCUCAUUUAAAGAAACUACCUAAUUAUUCAAUCUGAGGAGUGCUUUGGAAUAGUUCCAAUUUCUCAGAGUCACCUGAGAAGAGAAUCUCAAUGAAGAACUAGAUCAGGCUGACAUCCAACAUUCAACCACAUCAUAAGAUAGACAACCUAGGUGUCUACCACACUCUUCAUUCAGCAAAGUCCAGGA